UUCGAAGAACCACCCAUAAAAGAGUGCCGGGGCUUCUCCCGUUU
RNAcentral lists this transfer RNA (44 nucleotides) under Afroedura langi. Its description in RNAcentral is "partial tRNA-Cys". The record is from RNAcentral. Lineage: Eukaryota; Metazoa; Chordata; Lepidosauria; Squamata; Gekkonidae.